RNAcentral lists this ribosomal RNA (414 nucleotides) under uncultured bacterium. RNAcentral describes it as "bacterial SSU rRNA". It matches the Rfam family "Bacterial small subunit ribosomal RNA", at positions 355 to 786 of the family's 1533-position model. The record is from RNAcentral.
UGAGGAAUAUUGGGCAAUGGGGGCAACCCUGACCCAGCCAUGCCGCGUGAGUGAAGAAGGUUUUCGAAUUGUAAAGCUCUUUCGGAUGUGACGAUGAUGACGGUAGCAUCUAAAGAAGCCCCGGCAAACUUCGUGCCAGCAGCCGCGGUAAUACGAAGGGGGCGAGCGUUGUUCGGAAUUACUGGGCGUAAAGGCUGUGUAGGUGGACGUGUAAGAUAGCGGUGAAAUGCCGGAGCUCAACUUCGGAAUUGCCAUUAUAACUAUGCGUCUAGAAUUAUAGAGAGGAUAGCGGAAUACCCAGUGUAGAGGUGAAAUUCGUAGAUAUUGGGUAGAACACCAGUGGCGAAGGCGGCUAUCUGGCUAUAUAUUGACACUGAGGCACGAAAGCAUGGGGAUCAAACAGGAUUAGAUACC